AUUGAACGCUGGCGGCAUGCCUUACACAUGCAAGUCGAGCGGCAGCAUGGAGAGCUUGCUCUCUGAUGGCGAGUGGCGAACGGGUGAGUAAUGCAUCGGAACGUACCGUGUAAUGGGGGAUAACGUAGCGAAAGUUACGCUAAUACCGCAUACGACCUGAGGGUGAAAGCAGGGGAUCGCAAGACCUUGCGUUAUCCGAGCGGCCGAUGGCAGAUUAGCAAGUUGGUGAGGUAAAGGCCCACCAAGGCGACGAUCUGUAGCGGGUCUGAGAGGAUGAUCCGCCACACUGGGACUGAGACACGGCCCAGACUCCGACGGGAGGCAGCAGUGGGGAAUUUUGGACAAUGGGGGCAACCCUGAUCCAGCCAUGCCGCGUGAGUGAAGAAGGCCUUCGGGUUGUAAAGCUCUUUCGGCCGGGAAGAAAUCGCACAGGCUAAUACUCUGUGUGGAUGACGGUACCGGCAUAAGAAGCACCGGCUAACUACGUGCCAGCCGCCGCGGUAA
This 504-nucleotide ribosomal RNA is filed under the name uncultured bacterium. Its description in RNAcentral is "partial 16S ribosomal RNA". It matches the Rfam family "Bacterial small subunit ribosomal RNA", at positions 29 to 523 of the family's 1533-position model. The record is from RNAcentral.